This 257-nucleotide ribosomal RNA is filed under the name uncultured bacterium. RNAcentral's name for it is "partial 16S ribosomal RNA". It matches the Rfam family "Bacterial small subunit ribosomal RNA", at positions 524 to 777 of the family's 1533-position model. The record is from RNAcentral.
UACAGAGGGGGCAAGCGUUGGUUCGGAAUUACUGGGCGUAAAGGGCGCGUAGGCGGCCCGCUAAGUCGAACGUGAAAUCCCCGGGCUCAACCCGGGAACUGCGUCCGAUACUGGUGGGCUUGAAUCCGGGAGAGGGAUGCGGAAUUCCGGGUGUGAGCGGUGGAAUGCGUAGAGAUCCGGAAGAACACCGGUGGCGAAGGCGGUCUGCUGGGCAGUUGCUGGACACUGAGGCGCGACAGCGUGGGGAGCAAACAGGG